GUUGAACGCUGGCGGCGUGCCUAAUACAUGCAAGUCGAGCGAACGGACGAGAAGCUUGCUUCUCUGAUGUUAGCGGCGGACGGGUGAGUAACACGUGGAUAACCUACCUAUAAGACUGGGAUAACUUCGGGAAACCGGAGCUAAUACCGGAUAAUAUUUUGAACCGCAUGGUUCAUAAGUGAAAGACGGUCUUGCUGUCACUUAUAGAUGGAUCCGCGCUGCAUUAGCUAGUUGGUAAGGUAACGGCUUACCAAGGCAACGAUGCAUAGCCGACCUGAGAGGAUGAUCGGCCACACUGGAACUGAGACACGGUCCAGACUCCUACGGGAGGCAGCAGUGGGGAAUAUUGGACAAUGGGCGAAAGCCUGACCGAGCCAUGCCGCGUGUGUGAAGAAGGUCUUCGGAUUGUAAAGCACUUUAAGUUGGGAGGAAGGGCAGUAAGUGAAUACCUUGCUGUUUUGACGUUACCAACAGAAUAAGCACCGGCUAACUUCGUG
This 497-nucleotide ribosomal RNA is filed under the name uncultured bacterium. Its description in RNAcentral is "partial 16S ribosomal RNA". It matches the Rfam family "Bacterial small subunit ribosomal RNA", at positions 28 to 507 of the family's 1533-position model. The record is from RNAcentral.